UGCCAGACUCCUACGGGAGGCAGCAGUGGGGAAUAUUGCACAAUGGGGGAAACCCUGAUGCAGCGACGCCGCGUGAGCGAUGAAGUAUUUCGGUAUGUAAAGCUCUAUCAGCAGGGAAGAAAAUGACGGUACCUGACUAAGAAGCCCCGGCUAACUACGUGCCAGCAGCCGCGGUAAUACGUAGGGGGCAAGCGUUAUCCGGAUUUACUGGGUGUAAAGGGAGCGUAGACGGCUGUGCAAGCCAGAUGUGAAAGCCCGGGGCUCAACCCCGGGACUGCAUUUGGAACUGUGUGGCUGGAGUGUCGGAGAGGCAGGCGGAAUUCCUAGUGUAGCGGUGAAAUGCGUAGAUAUUAGGAGGAACACCAGUGGCGAAGGCGGCCUGCUGGACGAUGACUGACGUUGAGGCUCGAAAGCGUGGGGAGCAAACAGGAUUAGAUACCCCCGUAA
Molecule: ribosomal RNA, 447 nt
Filed under: uncultured bacterium
Lineage: Bacteria
Description: partial 16S ribosomal RNA
Rfam family: Bacterial small subunit ribosomal RNA
Source: RNAcentral